ACCUCGGAUCAGGUAGGGAUACCCGCUGAACUUAAGCAUAUCAAUAAGCGGAGGAAAAGAAACCAACAGGGAUUGCCCCAGUAACGGCGAGUGAAGCGGCAAGAGCUCAAAUUUGAAAGCUGGCUCCUUCGGGGUCCGCAUUGUAAUUUGCAGAGGAUGCUUCGGGAGCGGUCCCCAUCUAAGUGCCCUGGAACGGGCUGUCAUAGAGGGUGAGAAUCCCGUAUGGGAUGGGGUGUCCGCGCCCGUGUGAAGCUCCUUCGACGAGUCGAGUUGUUUGGGAAUGCAGCUCUAAAUGGGUGGUAAAUUUCAUCUAAAGCUAAAUAUUGGCCGGAGACCGAUAGCGCACAAGUAGAGUGAUCGAAAGAUGAAAAGCACUUUGAAAAGAGAGUUAAAAAGCACGUGAAAUUGUUGAAAGGGAAGCGUUUGCGACCAGACUCGCCUACGGGGUUCAGCCAGCCUUCGGGCUGGUGUACUUCCCCGUGGGCGGGCCAGCGUCGGUUUGGGCGGCCGGUC
RNAcentral lists this ribosomal RNA (513 nucleotides) under Penicillium sp. BESC15i. Its description in RNAcentral is "eukaryotic LSU rRNA". It matches the Rfam family "Eukaryotic large subunit ribosomal RNA", at positions 1 to 520 of the family's 3401-position model. The record is from RNAcentral. Lineage: Eukaryota; Fungi; Ascomycota; Eurotiomycetes; Eurotiales; Aspergillaceae.